GUGUGGAGAAUUGUUUUAGAUAGGAUUCAAACUAGAGUGAAUUUAAGAAAGAGGAACGAACGUAUUGGUUAAAUAAUAAUUUCUGUUUUGUGCCCUCUUUGCCAAUUACAUGAUGAGAACACUGCACAUCUUCUCUUUUAAUGUUUCCUUUUGACCCUUUUCAGCACCUUUAGCAACAGUACUCUGCCACGGUAUCAGGUUCAAGAGGCCAUGCCACACUGCUGUUUGUUCCUGAUAUAACAACUUAAUUUUCAAUGAUCCUAAAGCCGAAAAUGUCAAAUGAUAGUUACAUAAGACGGUAAUUAAUUGCACCGUUAAGCAGUACUAGAUGUUCAUUCUAAAUCAUUAAUCAUGUUCUCGUCCAAUUUUGUAUGCACACUAAGUGUAAAUUGUAAAAGUGUUUUUAGGUGACUACAAUACCACUGUCUUCAACUGGGACUUCACUCUUCAGUGCCCUCGUUUUACUUUUACUCGUGUUAAUUGUUAAAAGCCUCCUUCGUGUUUGUUACUGUACACUAUUUGUUAAGUGUAUAGUUAAGGGACGUAUUUACUCUGAUUACUCUAGUUUAAUACUACUCAAUUAGUGUAGUAUCAAAUAUAUUACUCAGUGUAAGUGAUUUGGGGUAACACACGUUUGUGGGGGAUAUAUAAUAUAAGUUCAAUCGAUUCUCAUAUAAUAUAUUAUAUGGAAUAGACAAUAAAUUUUAAAGGAGACUAAAUUUUAGAUAAAAAAAUUAGUCUGUAAUUGACUCAAAAGACUAAAUCUUAUGGGAUAUCUCAGAAUCUCAACCAAAAUUUCUAAUUACAGUAAUAAAAGCACAUCAAUAUAUUACAAUCUUAAUACACUAAUUAAAAUUAAAAGAUCAAUAUAAUCUUAACAUUUUCACUUUAAAAUAUUUUUUUUAUAAUUAUUAUCACUUGGUAGUUUUGCAAUCUGCAACGCACCUACAAACUACAGCUUUAAUUAACAAUUAAAAAUAUACGAUGCAGUACUUUGCAUGUUCUCUUACGAGUUUUCCGAGGGGAAGAAAACACACAAAAUGGUCAAAUCCAAAAUAAUAAGUGAUGGUUCCAUUAGAAUCUAGGACACAGGUAGAGGACAAUUACUGUAUUGGUUGAAGCAGCAUAUACUAUACUAUAUGAUAAACAUAAAAGUGAACUAGUCUAUGCAUGUAUGCACAUGGUGUUGCUGUUGCUGCCUUGAGUCUAAGUGGAUGGUUCUCUUCUCCUCCCUCACUCAACCGCUCAAUGUGUUCUUGGACUUGCUCCCACCACGUGAACCAAUGAAACCAUUUCAGAUCUCAAACUUCAUUUUCAAAUAUACCCUUAACGAAUUCAAGUUUUUUAUUUUUAUUUUUUAUUCUUAGCAUCUGUGUAUCAUGUCGAAUUUGUUAAAUAAUUAAUGUAGAAAUAAAAGUAUUAGGAUUUUAACAUAAAUUUCCACACGCGCAUACUAAUUACUUUUUGGUUGGACAAAUAUCGAAGUGUGUAACAAAUAGCAAUUGCUUCAGGUUUGAUACAUUUUCUCACAAUGUCCAACCAAAAAACAAUUAACACGUGUGUAAAUUUAUGUUAAAUCAUUUAAAUUAAAUCAUAAUAGCAGUUAGUUUGAUUUUAAGAAGAAUUCUGUGUGUUUUUACAGAAAUUUUAUGAUUUGUGUGCAUGUGGAAAAAGACUUUAUUGGAAUAGAUAAAUUCUACCUUGGUAAUGGCUUUUCGGACUACAUGACACCCUGUUUUCAGAGUAAAAAGAGUAAAUAUUUACAUGUUUAGAAUUAUGUUAAUUUUGAGUCUAAAACUAAUUGUGAGUUUAAGGAAUUGUAAGUAUUUAAAUGAGUUUUACCGUGUGUGAUUGAUCAUGCUUCAUGGAUCAGGAUGUGAAUUUUCUCAUCUCAUGAAAGCAGCUCCUUCUAUGUUAUUUUACCACUUGAUCGAUCGACCUGAUUUGCUACUUUUUUUUUUAAGGAACCUGAUUUAUUACUUAAAGAACAUGUUUCCAAACAUAAACAAAAUUAAAACUCAAUUUUAAAUACAAAAAUGUUUCUUGUAUUUUAGGACAAAUAUCUAUUUAAUGUUCCAAUAGCGUCUUUAAAAAAUUAUAGCAAUAACGUAAAAACAAACAUACAGUUAAACAAUUAUAAAUAUAUAAUAUGUAACAAUAGAUAUUUAUAUAUAUUUUAAAUAAAAUAACACUUAAUUAAUAAAUUAUAUAAAAUCUGUAUAAUCAAUUUAUUUUUUAAAAUAUUAAUUCAAUAAUUAAAUUAAUAAUUUUUUUAUACAAAUAUUAAAAUACAAUUUUUACAAAUUUAACAUCUAAUAUCAAUUAAUUCCAUUCGAUUCUAUAAAAACAUAUAAUUUAUGAUUAUUACUGAAUGUUCUUCAUACAAUAACUCUUUAUAAUAGUAAUUUCCACCCACUUUUUUUAUAUAUGUUAUCUCCCUCCAUUAUAUAAAAUAUCUCAUUCACACAUUUUUUCUUCCUAAAAGGUAGAAAUUGCAUAAAAGUUUUAUAAGAAAAAAAUUAUGUAUAUCAUUUAAUUAUAAUUUAUUAUAUAUAAUAAAUUUAUUAAUUUUUAAAUAAUUUAAAUAAUAAUUUAUAAUUAGAUAAUAAUAUAAAAUUAUAAUUUUAUAUUAUUACAUAGACAUAAAAUUCAAAAUUUAUUACAUAAACAUUACUCUAAAUAAUACAAUUAUUAAAGUUAAAAUUUGAUUUAUUUGUUGUCACUUUCCCCUUCACUCGUCUGUCAUAAAUUUUGCAGACAGAGAAGACACUUGGGGGUUUUGUUUCCUCUCUUUUUCACUCUUCGUCUUCCCCAUUCUGAAUUGUCGCACCCAAGUACAACGUUUCAGUAACAUACAACACUCCUUUGAACGAACCAACAACAACAACGCAUUUCUCUUUCACAACAACACCAUUCACAAAAAAACUCUGAUGUAAUAAUGAUCCAUUAUUCUAGUAACUGUCAAAACAGAAAAACAAAGGUGGUUCGUUCCAAAACAUACAUUCCGUAAACCCCUGGCCAGUAAAGUUGUAAAAUUUAAGGCUCAAAGCACAGAGCAGAACAUUCAGAUUCAGAGAAGAAUGGGAGAACCUGAGACCACACGAAUAUUCCAUGCAUGACCCUCUCUCUCUCCUUCCUUUUUCUUUCCAUUGAUCAAAAAACAGUUAAUAAUGGAGUUCUUUGUGUACCCUUUACCCUUUGGACUCCACAGUCUCUCCUUCUUUAUGGACACUAUUUUUUUACUUUAUAUUACAACAUAAUAGCUGUAAAUACAGUCUCAUUGUUCUACUUUUCCCUUGCAUUUCGGAAGGGAGGACCAUGACCAACUUAAGGAACACAAUUCAUGUUCCUUUUCUCUAUCUGAUCAUAGAAAUCAAUUGGGUAAAUAACGUGUUUAGUUUCAUGUUUCAUAUGUGAUUUUCGGAAACUCAGUUAUAAUAGCUAAAAGAACAUUGAUGACAACACUUGCCCCAGAGAAAUUACUAGUAUCAAUUAAGCAUCUAUCAAGCAAGACAAAUUAGUAUUAAUUAAUUGAUUGAUCUUAGGCUUUGUUUUCGUGGCACAACAUAUUAUAUUAUUUUUUUUUCUUGUGUUUGGUAUAGAUAUAGAGAAGAAGAGAAAGUGGGUUACAACGAGAAAGGUUGGUCUUUUGGUCUUUGACAUUUCAUUAAUUGGAGACAGCCUAUGCACCCUACUUGUGUUGUGGGUACCAACUAGCAGCUUUUUUGUCUCCUUAUUUUUAAUUUUAUUAAUUUAUUAUUACUAUUAUACUUUCUCUUCUUCUCCACACCCCAACAACAACAAGCAAGCAACUAAGUUUUCAUUGGCAUAUAAAUGUUUUUUUCUUGUUAGAGAGUUUCUUUUCCGUUUCACUCCUUCGACAGUAAUGAUGUUUUUUCUGUUAAGUAGUGUUGUUGAGGAAUCUGAGGAGUUUGUUGUUGUUGUUGUGAAUAUAGAAAAGUAGCAAUUAUAGCCUUAGAAAAAAAAAAAAAGAAAGACAGAAAACAAAAACCAUUCCUUAAAGUAAUAAGAAGCAGUAGCACGAACAGAAUCAUGAGUGCACGAGUGUUUUCAUUGAUGGGUUUUUAGAAGAACAAAAACAGCUUCUUUUCCAGCCUUAAGCCUUUCUUAACCGUUUCUUUUUCUCCUCUCUCUCACACUCUCAUACUUGUCUUUGGAUUCUGUGUUUUGAUUUUUUUUUUUUUAUAGUAUUUUGUUUUGUAUUUGGGAUUUUGGGGGGUUGCUUGCUUCUGUUGGGAAGUUCUAGUUACCUGUUUAAUGUCUCAACAAAGGCAAACUCAGAUGGUGGGUGGUAACAACCCUGACCAAUAUAAUGACACAACUUUCACCAAAAUCUUUGUUGGAGGGUUGGCUUGGGAGACUCAGAGGGACACAAUGAGAAGGUAUUUUGAGCAGUUUGGAGAGAUCUUAGAGGCUGUUGUUAUCACAGAUAAGAAUACCGGGAGAUCCAAGGGUUAUGGCUUUGUAAGUCCAUUUUCCUUCUUCAUCAUUUUGUGUUUCUAAUAACUCACAUCUUUGCAUAGUUUAUAAUAUUUGCUUGUUUAUCAUUAUUCCAUUUAUGGUUGUACUUGCAUGAUCUUGAACAAUGAGUCUGUGAUGUGUUGUUUUCCAAGGUCACAUUUAAGGAUCCUGAGUCAGCCAUGAGAGCAUGUCAGAAUCCAUCUCCAGUUAUUGAUGGUAGGAGAGCAAACUGCAACCUUGCUUCUCUUGGUGCAAGCAAGAAUCGACCACCAACUUUUCAGCAUGGUCUCAUUCAUUGCAUUCCUCCUUUAUCUACUUUGCUCUUUCUUUUUAUUACAAUACUUUUUCCAUUUUUGUUGAGUUUAUUUCACAAUUUUUGCAAACAAAUUUGUGUUUCGUAGUUAUAUUUCAUUCUUAAAUAGAUUUAACUCAUCCUAGGUAAGAAGGUAACACCUUUAAUGACUGGUUAUUUAGUUAAUAUAAAACAGAAAUGAUUGAGUUGUAAAAACAAAAAAAAGGGAUUGAAAUGCAAACUCACAUUGUAGGUGCAG
This 5033-nucleotide long non-coding RNA is filed under the name Glycine max (soybean). Its description in RNAcentral is "long non-coding RNA (GMAX_LNC003605)". Lineage: Eukaryota; Viridiplantae; Streptophyta; Magnoliopsida; Fabales; Fabaceae. The record is from RNAcentral.